GAGGGUAUAGCUCAGUGGUAGAGCACAUGCUUCGCAUGCACAAAGUCCUGGGUUCAAUUCCCAGUACCUCCA
This 72-nucleotide transfer RNA is filed under the name Camelus bactrianus (Bactrian camel). It matches the Rfam family "tRNA". Rfam says of the family: Transfer RNA (tRNA) molecules are approximately 80 nucleotides in length. Their secondary structure includes four short double-helical elements and three loops (D, anti-codon, and T loops). Further hydrogen bonds mediate the characteristic L-shaped molecular structure. tRNAs have two regions of fundamental functional importance: the anti-codon, which is responsible for specific mRNA codon recognition, and the 3' end, to which the tRNAs corresponding amino acid is attached (by aminoacyl-tRNA synthetases). tRNAs cope with the degeneracy of the genetic code in two manners: having more than one tRNA (with a specific anti-codon) for a particular amino acid; and 'wobble' base-pairing, i.e. permitting non-standard base-pairing at the 3rd anti-codon position. The record is from Rfam by way of RNAcentral. Lineage: Eukaryota; Metazoa; Chordata; Mammalia; Artiodactyla; Camelidae. RNAcentral also lists the same sequence under 2 other names.